GCCCGCGUAGCUCAGGGGCAGAGCGUUCCCUUGGUAAGGGAGAGGUCCCCGGUUCAACCCCGGGCGCAGGCU
This 72-nucleotide transfer RNA is filed under the name Picocystis salinarum. Its description in RNAcentral is "tRNA-Thr". It matches the Rfam family "tRNA". From Rfam's summary of the family: Transfer RNA (tRNA) molecules are approximately 80 nucleotides in length. Their secondary structure includes four short double-helical elements and three loops (D, anti-codon, and T loops). Lineage: Eukaryota; Viridiplantae; Chlorophyta; Picocystophyceae; Picocystales; Picocystaceae. The record is from RNAcentral.